AAUGCCAUAACAGAAAGGGAGAGGAGGAGAGCUCCUUAACCCUAAUCAAAUAUUCCAACCACCAUAUCUUCCUCGUUUGAGCUCCGAUCACUGCACCGUUUGCGGCCACGCGUCCAGCGCGUCGAGCUCUACCUUUCUAUCUAAUCAAUUUCACUGGCUCAAUUUAGCUUUUGGGACUUAUGGGCUCAAGCUAUUGAGUAUAUGGGUAUGGUGUAGAUUAAAUGGGUAUAUAUGCUUUGGAAUUGAAUUGGGAAUAUUUGGAGGCUUGUUGGUGAUCAAGGCUUGGUUUGUGGCUGUUUUAGUUGAGUUUGGAGGGGCUGUGUUUUAUCUUGUGAGGCUGCCUUGGGUGAAACUAAGUGGUCGGCCAAGAUGCAGGUCGAGAGGCUCCUCGCUAGGCGUCUGGAUCCUUGAAGUGAAGUAAUUCUUGGGUGUAUUUUGGAUUUCUGUUUGUAUAUAUGUACAUAUGUAUUUAGCUUACUCUCCAAGUAACUUGUGUAUGCUACUCCUCAUAGAGGUUGAGAGAGAGAUAUGAAUUUAUUUUAGUAUUUUGAGUUUUGAGUAUUUUGGGAUAUAUAUAUAUAUAUAUAUAUAUAUAUAUAUAUUCU
Arachis stenosperma is the source of this 605-nucleotide long non-coding RNA. RefSeq lists it as uncharacterized. The transcript has 4 exons. The record is from RefSeq and is a predicted model, not a curated record. Lineage: Eukaryota; Viridiplantae; Streptophyta; Magnoliopsida; Fabales; Fabaceae.